This 440-nucleotide ribosomal RNA is filed under the name uncultured bacterium. Its description in RNAcentral is "bacterial SSU rRNA". It matches the Rfam family "Bacterial small subunit ribosomal RNA", at positions 338 to 795 of the family's 1533-position model. The record is from RNAcentral.
GCUACGGGGGGCAGCAGUGGGGAAUAUUGCACAAUGGGGGAAACCCUGAUGCAGCAACGCCGCGUGAGCGAUGAAGGCCUUCGGGUCGUAAAGCUCUGUCCUAAGGGAAGAAUACUGACGGUACCUUAGGAGGAAUCCCCGGCUAACUACGUGCCAGCAGACGCGGUAAUACGUAGGGGGCUAGCGCUAUCCGGAAUUACUGGGCGUAAAGGGUGCGUAGGCGGCACUUCAAGUCAGAGGUGAAAGGUUACGGCGUAACCGUCGUAAGCAUUUGAAGCUGUAGGGGUUGGGUACAGGAGAGGGGAGUGGAAUUCCCAGUGUAGCGAUGAAAUGCGUAGAUAUUGGGAGGAACACCAGUUGCGAAGGCGGCUCUCUGGCGUGUAACUGACGCUGAGGCACGAAAGCGUGGGGAGCGAACAGGAUUAGAUACCCCUGUAGUC